RNAcentral lists this ribosomal RNA (390 nucleotides) under uncultured bacterium. RNAcentral describes it as "bacterial SSU rRNA". It matches the Rfam family "Bacterial small subunit ribosomal RNA", at positions 29 to 409 of the family's 1533-position model. The record is from RNAcentral.
AAUGAACGCUGGCGGCGCGCCUAAUACAUGCAAGUCGAGCGAGAAGACGUAGCAAUACGUUUGUAAAGCGGCGAACGGGUGAGGAAUACAUGGGUAACCUACCCUCGAGUGGGGAAUAACUAGCCGAAAGGUUAGCUAAUACCGCGUACGCUCCUUGGACUUCGGUUCAGGGAGGAAAGCGAUACCGUGGGUAUCGCGCUCUUGGUUGGGCUCAUGUCCUAUCAGCUUGUUGGUGAGGUAACGGCUCACCAAGGCUUCGACGGGUAGCUGGUCUGAGAGGACGAUCAGCCACACUGGCACUGCGACACGGGCCAGACUCCUACGGGAGGCAGCAGUAAGGAAUAUUGCGCAAUGGGCGAAAGCCUGACGCAGCGACGCCGCGUGGGGGGA